AACGUAGGAGACAAACGUUAUCCGGAGUUACUGGGCGUAAAGGGCGUGUAGGCGGUUAGUUAAGUCUGGCGUGAAAGCUCUCGGCUAAACCGGGAGAGGUCGUUGGAUACUGGCUGACUAGAGGACGGUAGAGGCGUGUGGAAUUCCGGGUGUAGUGGUGAAAUGCGUAGAGAUCCGGAGGAACACCAGUGGCGAAGGCGACACGCGGGGCCGUACCUGACGCUAAAGCGCGACAGCAUGGGGAGCAAACGAG
This 253-nucleotide ribosomal RNA is filed under the name uncultured bacterium. RNAcentral describes it as "partial 16S ribosomal RNA". It matches the Rfam family "Bacterial small subunit ribosomal RNA", at positions 524 to 776 of the family's 1533-position model. The record is from RNAcentral.